AUGCCACAGAGCACCCACCGAGGAGCUAUGCAGCACCGAAAUCACGGCCACAUCGACGAGAUGAAGAACAGCGAAGUUCGGGCACAGCGAGCCUGGACGGAGACCGGUGAGCACGGCAUGGGGAGAAUCUUCCACCUACAAAGACUUCGACGACCGAGAAUAGAAUCACAGUUUGGUCGUUUGUACCUCAAUCAAGAUAGAACGGAGAGCCAUGAGAAGCUUAUGAAGGAUUACUUCAACCCCAAUGCAAUAUAUCUGAAGAAGUAUUUUCUCCAUCGAUUUCGGAUGCAUCGAAGUCAUUUCCUCGCCAUUGCAAAAGUUGCAGAAAAGAAUGAUCCGUGGUUUAAAUUGAGAAGAAGUGCACCGGGAGAGAUAAGUGCGAGCCCAUUAAUUAAGUGUGUCGCGUCUGUUCAAGUGCAUGCAUGUGGUUGCUCGGCCGAGGCCAUUGAUGAUUAUGUCUGCACUGGGGAAGAUUCAAUCCUAGAGGAAAUUGAGGCACACUUUGGGGAUGCCCUUAGGGGCACCCGGCAUCCGUUGAGGGGUAUAGCUUUGGAUGACAUGAUGCGGGCCGGGAGGCGGCCAUCCAAAGCUAUUCACAAAUUAAUCUGGUUGGGGGAGAGAGUAGAGGGGGAUCAUGCAUGUGGUGAAAUAUUAUGGUGUGGUAUCUGGUUGGAAGGGGAGAGAGGAGAAGCGGACCAUUAUCGCUCCCCCAAGUUUGUCUCGGAUUUGCUGGAAAACAGACGUCUGAACUAUUCGCGGACGGAUGAGGAUCUUCGUUGGAUGACAAAACCCCUUCCCCACCGGCGAGCCGCUCUCCACCUCCUGGAUGCGUCGCCGGCCACCUCACAUCCAGCGCGGGUCGCCGCUGCCUACCUCGAGCAGCAGGACCAACACGAGGCGACGCCCUCGCUGGCGAGGUCCACGACUUGCCCCGCCGCGAGCCCGCCCGUGCCCACGGUGCCCGCGAGCUCCGCCACGGCGCGGAGCGCGCGGUUGGCCGGCACGCCGCGCCCCGCGCAGUCCCGAGCGAGGUGCUCGAACGCGAGCGCUAGGAGCGCGUCCCGGGCGAGCAGCGCUGACACCGAAAGCGAUGUGGUUGGUGGGGCGGCCGCGCCGGAGGUCGUCGUCGUCCAUGCAGGCGACGGGCUCGGCGGCGGCCUCGUUGCCGCCCACCAGCUCGCACUCGGCUCUGUUGUUCUAGACGUGACCUGUUAUAAUCCAUCGUCCAUUGCUCAUCGCCAUUCCAAACACUCGCUGCUUUCGCCGAGCCCCUCUACACACUCGCGGAGCUACAGCAAGGCUAAAUGGGCCGUGGCCCGCCCAGCUCAUGUUGAUUUGUUUUCUUAUCGGGCCCGCUCAAUUUCCGGGGAGACCCGUUUGCGUUUUCUCUCGCUUCGGCCCCGCGUCGUGCCUCUGUCCCAUCCCCUCCCGUGUCGAGAGAGACAGAGAGAAAGAGAUCCAUGGCGACUGAGCUGCCCUGUCCGCUUGAUUCAGAAGGGUGGUUGUCAGGCGUCCGGCGCUCUUCCUCCGGCUGCCCCGCCACCUCCUUCUCCUUCGCCUUUUCCCCCGCUAGAGGUCUGCAACAUCUCUCGGUUCCGCCCCAUCGCCGGCCCCAUUUUUCUCCGCCCGGCGUUUCUGUGCGUCGUAUUCGGGAUUACCUUGUUGCAAAAGUCUCUUGCUCUUGAAUCUACGAAGAAAGCAUCAAAUGAUUCGUCAGUUAGUAAAUCUGCUGUUUAUAACGAGAGUGCUCUGUGGAUUGUGAUCUGCUCUUUUGCUUUGGUAGCAACCUGUUGCUGCUCAAAUUUCUAA
RNAcentral lists this ribosomal RNA (1809 nucleotides) under Triticum aestivum (bread wheat). Its description in RNAcentral is "partial small subunit ribosomal RNA". The record is from RNAcentral. Lineage: Eukaryota; Viridiplantae; Streptophyta; Magnoliopsida; Poales; Poaceae.